AUGCCCCUAGACUUCACCAAGCACUUCCUCGUCGUGACAACGGUGCUCAAGCUGAAGACGAACACAUGUUGCUCAUGGAGGGUCACUGUGAGGCUGAUGAACGACAUGGUCACCCUCGAUGAGGGUUGGGCCACCUUCGUCGUCGUCUAUCAGAUCAAGAUCGGUUACAUGGUGACCUUCAAGUUGCUGACUCCCGACACGCUCAAGGUCGUCAUCUUCGACGACGACGAUAUUGAAGUGGUGACCAAGUGUGGGAGACACGACGACGCCUUCGCCAUGAACGGCUAA
Molecule: ribosomal RNA, 288 nt
Filed under: Triticum aestivum (bread wheat)
Lineage: Eukaryota; Viridiplantae; Streptophyta; Magnoliopsida; Poales; Poaceae
Description: partial small subunit ribosomal RNA
Source: RNAcentral